This 484-nucleotide ribosomal RNA is filed under the name uncultured bacterium. RNAcentral describes it as "partial 16S ribosomal RNA". It matches the Rfam family "Bacterial small subunit ribosomal RNA", at positions 29 to 507 of the family's 1533-position model. The record is from RNAcentral.
AUUGAACUCUUUCUUCAUGCUUUACACAUGCAAGUCGAACGGCAGCGCGGGCUUCGGCCUGGCGGCGAGUGGCGAACGGGUGAGUAAUGCAUCGGAACGUGCCCAGUAGUGGGGGAUAGCCCGGCGAAAGCCGGAUUAAUACCGCAUACGACCUGAGGGUGAAAGCGGGGGACCGAAAGGCCUCGCGCUAUUGGAGCGGCCGAUGUCGGAUUAGCUAGUUGGUGGGGUAAAGGCUUACCAAGGCGACGAUCCGUAGCUGGUCUGAGAGGACGACCAGCCACACUGGGACUGAGACACGGCCCAGACUCCUACGGGAGGCAGCAGUGGGGAAUUUUGGACAAUGGGGGCAACCCUGAUCCAGCCAUGCCGCGUGCGGGAAGAAGGCCUUCGGGUUGUAAACCGCUUUUGUUCGGGAAGAAAUCCUCUGGGCUAAUACCCCGGGGGGAUGACGGUACCGGAAGAAUAAGCACCGGCUAACUACGUG